AAAAUCCGUUGGUUCCAAAGG
RNAcentral lists this transfer RNA (21 nucleotides) under Pteridium aquilinum subsp. decompositum. RNAcentral's name for it is "partial tRNA-Leu". The record is from RNAcentral. Lineage: Eukaryota; Viridiplantae; Streptophyta; Polypodiopsida; Polypodiales; Dennstaedtiaceae.